GCGGUGGGGAGUGGGGGUUACACGGGGGGGCGGCGGGGACAGAGGCAGUGAAGGGCCGGUGGGAAAGGCGGGGCGGGCUUGAAUGGCGGCGUCCGGGGGCUCAGGGGCUGCUGCAGACCCACCGUCCUGGCCUGUGGAGCCCGCGCGGCCGUGGGACGCAGGAGGGUGGCGGCCCGCGUGGGGCAGCGCCUGAGGCUGGCGCGGGGCCUGGGACCGAAGCCUCCGGGUCGGGCGGGCGCUGGCAGAAAGUGACUCAUGCGGAGUUUCACGCCAGCCCAGGGGCCCAGCGAGUCCGCACCCACCGCUUUCAGCUGCCGCCCAUGCGGGUCCCGGAGGAGGUGCCGGGAGGGGGUCUCGGACGUUGAAGCUGAAUCCACCACGCGGUGCCCGCGGGCCCGUGAGUGACAUCACCGCGACGCUGCGCCUGGACCGAGAAUCCCCACGCCGGGCACCACCUCUGAAGGCUGGAGGUCAUAGGUCAAAGCCAAGAACAGAAGCUGCGGUGGGGCACACAGCUGAAAAGAGGAACCUGAGCAUCCAGGCGGCCACCAGCAGGGGCCUCUUCAGGCCACAACAAUGCUCCCCUUCGGGGUCCCCGGAAGAGUCACCCAGGGGUGACUCCAGCAGAGGUCCUCUCUGCCUGCGGUCCGGGAAGACCAGAGCUUCCUGAGCGGAGCAGGUCAGCGUCUCCUCCUCGGCGGAAGACAGAAAGACCAGGUCCACCCAAGACUGCAAGCUCCGGCCUCGGGGCAGCAGGGCCUGUGAGGGCCGAGGGUGGACUGAGCCAGGCCUGACCAUCAGCAGCUCGUCCCCCACCUCGGGUCCCCACGAGCACCCCACUGUGGCCUUGGGUUUUGAUGUUUCCAACUUUUAAAGAGAAGUUUGAAAUCUGUAAUUCUUAUGUGAAACCCUGUUCUUUACUAAUUAAAGACUUAGAAUUAGCUAGUUAAAAUUAAUUAAAAUUGAUUAAAUUUGUACUAAUAAAAGCUAACUGAAUUCUUCUCAAAA
This is a long non-coding RNA of Callithrix jacchus (white-tufted-ear marmoset), 1008 nucleotides long. RefSeq lists it as uncharacterized. The record is from RefSeq and is a predicted model, not a curated record. Lineage: Eukaryota; Metazoa; Chordata; Mammalia; Primates; Cebidae.